RNAcentral lists this ribosomal RNA (688 nucleotides) under uncultured Lachnospiraceae bacterium. RNAcentral's name for it is "bacterial SSU rRNA". It matches the Rfam family "Bacterial small subunit ribosomal RNA", at positions 62 to 751 of the family's 1533-position model. The record is from RNAcentral. Lineage: Bacteria; Bacillati; Bacillota; Clostridia; Lachnospirales; Lachnospiraceae.
UCGAGCGAAGCGGUCUGGAGGAAGUUUUCGGAUGGAAUCCGGAUUGACUGAGCGGCGGACGGGUGAGUAACGCGUGGGUAACCUGCCUCAUACAGGGGGAUAACAGUUAGAAAUGGCUGCUAAUACCGCAUAAGCGCACAGCUUCGCAUGGAGCAGUGCGAAAAACUCCGGUGGUAUGAGAUGGACCCGCGUCUGAUUAGCUAGUUGGUAAGGUAACGGCUUACCAAGGCGACGAUCAGUAGCCGACCUGAGAGGGUGACCGGCCACAUUGGGACUGAGACACGGCCCAAACUCCUACGGGAGGCAGCAGUGGGGAAUAUUGCACAAUGGGGGAAACCCUGAUGCAGCGACGCCGCGUGAGUGAAGAAGUAUUUCGGUAUGUAAAGCUCUAUCAGCAGGGAAGAAAAUGACGGUACCUGACUAAGAAGCCCCGGCUAACUACGUGCCAGCAGCCGCGGUAAUACGUAGGGGGCAAGCGUUAUCCGGAUUUACUGGGUGUAAAGGGAGCGUAGACGGCAUAGCAAGUCUGGAGUGAAAGCCCGGGGCUCAACCCCGGUACUGCUUUGGAAACUGUUAAGCUAGAGUGCUGGAGAGGUAAGUGGAAUUCCUAGUGUAGCGGUGAAAUGCGUAGAUAUUAGGAGGACACCAGUGGCGAAGGCGGCUUACUGGACAGUAACUGACGUUGAGG